This 352-nucleotide transfer-messenger RNA is filed under the name Armatimonadota bacterium. Its description in RNAcentral is "Armatimonadetes bacterium (sediment metagenome) transfer-messenger RNA". It matches the Rfam family "transfer-messenger RNA". Rfam says of the family: Bacterial tmRNA, also known as 10Sa RNA or SsrA, is named for its dual tRNA and mRNA-like properties. Its role is to liberate the mRNA from a stalled ribosome. The record is from RNAcentral. Lineage: Bacteria; Bacillati; Armatimonadota.
GGGGGCGACGGGUUUCGACGGAGACGGAUCGCGACGGUAGCUGCGAGCCGAGGCGCCGCUGGCCUCGUAAAAAGCGGCAAAACACAAGCGCCAACACUGGCACUUACGCCCUCGCUGCCUAACUAACGGCGGCGCGCUGCUCCAAGGCCUGGCCAGGAGCCUGAAGAGCGGCGGGGACGAUCCUGGCCCACUCGCUCGGGAGUGCCCGCGGCCCGAGGGAGUCACCCAGCGGGCUGGCGCGUGGCCGGUUUGCCGGCGGAACGGCGCGCGUGAAAUCGAAACACCGGCUACGCUCGUAGACGCUGCCGGACGCACCCUUCGGACCCGGGUUCAACUCCCGGCGCCUCCAUCU